Selaginella moellendorffii is the source of this 529-nucleotide long non-coding RNA. RefSeq lists it as uncharacterized. The record is from RefSeq and is a predicted model, not a curated record. The transcript has 2 exons. NCBI's taxonomy places the organism in Eukaryota, Viridiplantae, Streptophyta, Lycopodiopsida, Selaginellales, Selaginellaceae.
AAUACGUGGUGGAUUUCACAUUUGGGGAGAGUAUGGUCCAUGAUCCGGUCACAGAGAGGGAUUAUUUCCCGCUGAUCAUGAGUCCCAAGGAUUUUGGCGAUGGAUUUACCAUGACUGGGGGGAGAUUUUACCCCGCAGAUGAAGAGGGCGUGCAUUGCACUGCAGUAAUACUUGAUGAUGCCGAGGAUGCUGAGAGGAACCAGUAUAUGUUUUCCAAUGUGCAGAAGUUGGGCACAAGAGGAUUGAAAACAUGAACUCGUGUUUCUUCUUGUUCUAGGUGUCGAAGGAUGGUGAGGUGCUUGAAUCUACAGAUUGGAGGUCAAACCAGAUUGGCGUAAAGCCCGGUGGUGUUGGAAGGAGACCCAGGGCGCAAUCAAUGCAAGGAUCCAGGAUGCUAUUGCACGAGGCGCUAAAGUGUACGGAUAGUCCUUCUUCCCAUUGCUUUAUUCAUUCAAUUACUUAUCCCAUCAUGCACUAAACCAACUGUUUUAUUGGCAAUUGACACUCUAUGAACUAAAAAAUUAUAGCC